This 77-nucleotide transfer RNA is filed under the name Deinococcus aquiradiocola. Its description in RNAcentral is "tRNA-Arg". It matches the Rfam family "tRNA". From Rfam's summary of the family: Transfer RNA (tRNA) molecules are approximately 80 nucleotides in length. Their secondary structure includes four short double-helical elements and three loops (D, anti-codon, and T loops). Lineage: Bacteria; Thermotogati; Deinococcota; Deinococci; Deinococcales; Deinococcaceae. RNAcentral also lists the same sequence under 3 other names. The record is from RNAcentral.
GCGCUCGUAGCUCAGUUGGAUAGAGCGUUAGCCUCCGAAGCUAAAGGCCACAGGUUCAAGUCCUGUCGGGCGCACCA